GAUGAACGCUGGCGGCGUGCCUAAUACAUGCAAGUCGAACGAAACUUCUUUAUCACCGAGUGCUUGCACUCACCGAUAAAGAGUUGAGUGGCGAACGGGUGCGUAACACGUGGGCAACCUGCCCAAAAGAGGGGGAUAACAAUUGGAAACAGGUGCUAAUACCGCAUAACCAUAGUUACCGCAUGGUAACUAUGUAACAGGUGGCUAUACUACCGCUUUUGGAUGGGCCCGCUGCGCAUUAGCUAGUUGGUAGGGUAGAGGCUUACCAAGGCAAUGAUGCGUAGCGGCAUUGAGAGGUUGAUCGGCCACAUUGGGACUGAGACACGGCCCAAACUCCUACGGGAGGCAGCAGUAGGGAUUCUUGGAAAAUGGGCGAAAGCCUGAUGGAGCAACGCCGCGUGGGUGAGGAAGGUCUCCGGAUCGUAAAACCUGGUUGUUAGGGAAGAAAGUGCGUGAGAGUAACUGUUCACGUUUCGACGGUAUCUAACCAGAAAGCCACGGCUAACUACGUG
Molecule: ribosomal RNA, 512 nt
Filed under: uncultured bacterium
Lineage: Bacteria
Description: partial 16S ribosomal RNA
Rfam family: Bacterial small subunit ribosomal RNA
Source: RNAcentral